GGGCCAGCCAUGGGAAGAAGGUGAGCCAUGGAAACCUGUAGUCUGUGCUGGAAAAUAAGUGACUGGGAAUGUGACUAACUUGCUGCAAGACGUUAUUUCUGGGACGUCUCUUGACCCGUGUGCACAGAUGAUGAACAAUUUCUCCUUUCUGGGUUGGCUUCUUUGCCUCUUGGUGCAGAAAUUGUCCUGAAAGCACGCCAGGAACCUAAGUCAUAGGUAAGCAGUAGAAAUUGUUUUAUUUAUGAAAGAUGCAGCUCUGUUAAUAUGCACAUAAA
RNAcentral lists this long non-coding RNA (275 nucleotides) under Zonotrichia albicollis (white-throated sparrow). RNAcentral describes it as "lncRNA (ENSZALG00000012026.1)". The record is from RNAcentral. Lineage: Eukaryota; Metazoa; Chordata; Aves; Passeriformes; Passerellidae.